AAUGAACGUUGGCGGCGUGGAUUAGGCAUGCAAGUCGAGCGAGAACCGACCUUGGUUGGGACGAGCGGCGAACGGCGUAGUAAUGCGUAGGAACGUACCCUCGGUCGGGAGUAGCUACGGGAAACUGUAGGUAAUACCCGAUGAUCUCUGCGGAGCAAAGGUGAGAUUCCGCCGGGGGAGCGGCUUACGUGAUAUUAGCUUGUUGGUGGGGUAAUGGCCUACCAAGGCAACGAUGUCUAGGGGUGUGAGAGCAUGGCCCCCACGACCGGAACUGAGAUACUGUCCGGACACCUACGGGUGGCUGCAGUCGAGAAUCUUCCGCAAUGGGCGAAAGCCUGACGGAGCGACGCCGCGUGGUGGAUGAAGGCCCUUGGGUUGUAAACACCUGUCAGAGGGGAUGAAGUCGUUGGAGGUACUCCUCCUUCGUUGACAGAGCCUCAAAGGAAGCACGGGCUAAGUACGUG
Molecule: ribosomal RNA, 464 nt
Filed under: uncultured bacterium
Lineage: Bacteria
Description: bacterial SSU rRNA
Rfam family: Bacterial small subunit ribosomal RNA
Source: RNAcentral